Dalotia coriaria is the source of this 1103-nucleotide long non-coding RNA. RefSeq lists it as uncharacterized. NCBI's taxonomy places the organism in Eukaryota, Metazoa, Arthropoda, Insecta, Coleoptera, Staphylinidae. The transcript is spliced from 3 exons. The record is from RefSeq and is a predicted model, not a curated record.
UCUUGUUAAAAUUUUAUGUUCUUGAGUAUUUUUGUUGUUUAAAGGUUGAAUAAAUACUCGGUGGCGAAACAAAUUCAGCAAAUAAUACAUUUCUAUAAUCGGCAAUUUUAUAUACAGCUUACAAACAAAUAUUCAAACCAACGUAGUUAUCUUUCUGACAGAAACAAAUGUCAUUCUAAUAUGACAUUAGUGAGAGUGCAAGUCACAACUUUUCAUUCCAACGUGAUUCCAACCCUAAAACAGUGAAUAAUAAUACAAUGAGCGUGAGUGUAUCAUGUUCGAGUGCAUCCGGAAGCGAAUCGUGGCGUGACACAGAUGGACACACACGAGAGGCUCCCUUGUGUACACUUCGUAUGCAUACAGCAUGUCCAUUAAUAUAACGGAAACGAAACGUUCCUGUAACACGAUCUCCACAUCCCCGGCCGCAGAAAAAAACCCAACCGAACAAAUAGUUGGAAAUUUGUUACGAAUUGACCAAACGUAUGUGCAGCACUUUUUUCUCAAUUGUGAUCACGUUGAUUAUCCCACGGUCAGCGUAUUUACCUAUUAAAUAAUAAGAUCACGUACGCCCGCAAAGGGUGCACCCUCCUGCAGCGCGUUUGUCUAAUUACCUUCCUGUUUGCGUUUCUCAUGCGGGAGUAAUUAUUUCACAUUAGAUCAACAUCAACAACAGCAGCCAGUAGUAGGUUUGCAGCCAGUACACUUAACUUGAAUCAACGCCAAAGUUAAUUCCGCGAUGGAAACAUUAUUACGGCAUUACGAAAUGUGCCAGCGAUAUAAUUAAUUUUGCAUCGGUGUGUGGAUGUUUUAGCUAAUCAUAAAUCAACAUAAUUAGCAGAACAACAUACAAAAUGGGUAAUGACUAAAGCAUAUUUCAUCAUAACGUGAUUACCUAGCCGGCAGCGCAGUGGAUGCAAACGCUGCACACGCUUUGUUUGCAUUGAGGUGCAAUUGUCCAAAAAAAGGAUUAUCGCUCAAAACGUACCGACAGCGGCCACACACGCUGAAAACUCGUUUUAAGAUGAUUUCAAACGAAAUAAAAAAUUGAUCAUUCAAGUAGGCCCUUAACAGAGCACGAGGACGACAACAAUCCAAAACGUAAA